This 433-nucleotide ribosomal RNA is filed under the name uncultured bacterium. RNAcentral's name for it is "partial 16S ribosomal RNA". It matches the Rfam family "Bacterial small subunit ribosomal RNA", at positions 29 to 507 of the family's 1533-position model. The record is from RNAcentral.
AACGAACGCUGGCGGCAUGCCUAACACAUGCAAGUCGAACGAGACCUUCGGGUCUAGUGGCGCACGGGUGCGUAACGCGUGGGAACCUGCCCUUAGGUUCGGAAUAACUCCCCGAAAGGGGUGCUAAUACCGGAUAAUGUCUUCGGACCAAAGAUUUAUCGCCUUUGGAUGGGCCCGCGUUGGAUUAGCUGGUUGUUAGGGUAAAAGCCUACCAAGGCGACGAUCCAUAGCUGGUCUGAGAGGAUGAUCAGCCACACUGGGACUGAGACACGGCCCAGACUCCUACGGGAGGCAGCAGUGGGGAAUAUUGGACAAUGGGCGAAAGCAUGAUCCAGCAAUGCCGCGUGAGUGAUGAAGGCCUUAGGGUUGUAAAGCUCUUUUAACCGGGAUGAUAAUGACAGUACCGGGAGAAUAAGCUCCGGCUAACUCCGUG